RNAcentral lists this ribosomal RNA (625 nucleotides) under uncultured ciliate. RNAcentral describes it as "bacterial SSU rRNA". It matches the Rfam family "Eukaryotic small subunit ribosomal RNA", at positions 394 to 972 of the family's 1831-position model. The record is from RNAcentral. Lineage: Eukaryota; Ciliophora.
GCCUGAGAGACGGCCGCCACUUCCAAGGAAGGCAGCAGGCGCGCAAAUUACCCAAUCUCGACACGAGGAGGUAGUGACAAUAAAUAACAAUGCAGGACCCGACAAGGGCCUUGCAAUUGGAAUGAGUACAAUUUAAACCCCUUAACGAGGAACAAUUGGAGGACAAGUCUGGUGCCAGCACCCGCGGUAAUUCCAGCUCCAAUAGCAUAUAUUAAAGUUGUUGCAGUUAAAAAGCUCGUAGUUGGAUUUCGGGGGGAGACAAUUUUACAAAGGAAUCCGGUCUGCCCUCCUCCAAAAGAGGUAUUGGGUGUGUACUGAUUCCCUCCCCCUUCCUUCCGGUUUUUUUAUGCCUGGUGCUGACCUUAACUGGUUGGUGCCAUGGCUCCGGAUCGUUUACUUUGAAGAAAUUAGAGUGCUCAAAGCAGGCCUGCCGGCCAAUGAAUACAUCAGCAUGGGAUAAUGGAACAGGACGGGGCUUCCCUCUCACUCUUCCGUUGGUUCUCGAAGGGGCCCGGUAAUGAUUAAUAGAGACAGUUGGGGGCACUCAUAUUCCGCGGUCAGAGGUGAAAUUCUUGGAUUCGCGGAAGAUGAACUAGUGCGAAAGCAUUUGCCAAGGAUGUUUUCA